RNAcentral lists this microRNA precursor (68 nucleotides) under Bombyx mori (domestic silkworm). RNAcentral's name for it is "mir-2774 microRNA precursor family". It matches the Rfam family "mir-2774 microRNA precursor family". The record is from Rfam by way of RNAcentral. Lineage: Eukaryota; Metazoa; Arthropoda; Insecta; Lepidoptera; Bombycidae.
ACAACAUUCGGACCGUCGGUCUAACGAGCAAUUUCACCCGCACGCUUGAAGAUCAUCCCAUUUGUAUC